RNAcentral lists this small RNA (80 nucleotides) under Cricetulus griseus (Chinese hamster). Lineage: Eukaryota; Metazoa; Chordata; Mammalia; Rodentia; Cricetidae. The record is from RNAcentral.
GUCUCCCAUCCAAGUACUAACUAGGCCCGGACCUGCUUAGCUUUCGAGAUCAGACGAGAUCGGGCGCAUUCAGGGUGGUA